ACGGCGCGCUGCGCUGACCGCAGAGGUGUAGUCAGUGAGAGCGUUGUCCUGUAUCUGCUCUCGCACCGAACGCUGGAGACCACGGAGGAAAUAUCCUAAGCACUGGUCAUCCGAAAGGGGAGGCAGCUGGGCCACGCGGCUUUCGAAAGCAGCGAUGUAAUCCUCCAGAGAUCCUGUUUGAUGUAAUAGAAACAAGGCCUCGUAGGUGUUGAGCGUGGAGGCAUCGCCGAAACGCGCCAAUAAGGCUUGGGUGAAUUGUGGCCAUGCCGGGUUGGGAUUACGACGCAGGAGUAGUUG
RNAcentral lists this long non-coding RNA (297 nucleotides) under Salvia miltiorrhiza (redroot sage). Its description in RNAcentral is "long non-coding RNA (SMIL_LNC003339)". Lineage: Eukaryota; Viridiplantae; Streptophyta; Magnoliopsida; Lamiales; Lamiaceae. The record is from RNAcentral.